AGAGAUUAUGUACUGAAAUGGAAAAAAACUACUUUACCGAAACUAUGAGAUUUAUAUUUAAAUCGAUGGAGGAGCGUUCUAUAUUUAAGAAGUAAAAAUGUACCAUUUUUAUGGAAAAAAUAGAAGUGAAAAUGUCAGCUUAAGUAGCAUAAAUAUUAGUAAAAUCUAAUACUCCGAACGCUUAAAAGUUUUCUACGAAAGGAUAUACCACGUAGAUAAAGUCGGGGCCUAAAAUUAGAUUAAAUAUGUAAUUGAUGGGUAAUAAGGUUAAACUUCCUUUACUGUAAAUAUAUAUAACAAAUAGUGACCUAUAAUUUUUAUUAUAUUUUUAUAAUAUAGUUUUUAAUAUAUAAAUAAAAAUAUAUAGCUGGAAAAAUGUAUAUGUUAAAAUAUAUUAUCACCCGUACUAAAACUGACCCAAGUAAGCAAGUAUAAAUAUACUAAGGAGUNCGAAAUAACUUUUUCUAAGGAACUCGGCAAAAUAAUCCUGUAACUUCGGGAAAAAGGAUGUCCAAAGGACUGCAAUAAAGAGAUCCNAGCGACUGUUUAUCAAAAACACAAGUCUCCGCUAAGUGUAAUUACAAUGUAAGGGGGCUGACACCUGCCCAGUGCUGGUAAGUUAAAAAAAAUAUUGAUAAUUAUAAUAUUUUUAUAAGCUCCAGUAAACGGCGGCUGUAACUAUAACGGUCCAAAGGUAGCGAAAUUCCUUGUCGGGUAAGUUCCGACCUGCACGAAAGGUGUAACGACUUGGAUGCUGUCUUGGAAAAAGAUUCGGCGAAAUAGAAAUGUCUGUGAAGAUACGGACUAUUUACACCUGGACAGAAAGACCCUAUGAAGCUUUACUAUAUUUUGAAAUUAAAAAUAAAAUAUAUUUGUGUAGAAUAAGUGGGAAAUAAUUAUUUUAUUUAUCUUGAAAUACCACUCUUAUUUAUUUUAUUUUUUUAUUAUAAUAUUGUUAACCAAUUAUAAAAAAAUUUUAAAAAGGUAGUUUGACUGGGGCGGUAGCCUCCUAAAAGGCAACGGAGGUGUACAAAGGUCUUUUUUCUAAUUUAAAUAUUUACUUUAAAAUUAAAUCUAUAAAGGGAUAAAAAGGCUUGAUUGUAAGAGUUACUACUCGAGCAAGGACGAAAGUCGGUCUUAAUGAUCCGAUAGUUC
This 1155-nucleotide ribosomal RNA is filed under the name Eimeria tenella. Its description in RNAcentral is "partial 23S ribosomal RNA". It matches the Rfam family "Bacterial large subunit ribosomal RNA", at positions 1152 to 2429 of the family's 2925-position model. The record is from RNAcentral. Lineage: Eukaryota; Apicomplexa; Conoidasida; Eucoccidiorida; Eimeriidae.